RNAcentral lists this ribosomal RNA (253 nucleotides) under uncultured bacterium. Its description in RNAcentral is "partial 16S ribosomal RNA". It matches the Rfam family "Bacterial small subunit ribosomal RNA", at positions 524 to 776 of the family's 1533-position model. The record is from RNAcentral.
UACGAAGGGGGCUAGCGUUGCUCGGAAUCACUGGGCGUAAAGCGCACGUAGGCGGGUCUUUAAGUCAGGGGUGAAAUCCUGGAGCUCAACUCCAGAACUGCCUUUGAUACUGAGGAUCUCGAGUCCGGGAGAGGUGAGUGGAACUCCGAGUGUAGAGGUGAAAUUCGUAGAUAUUCGGAGGAACACCAGUGGCGAAGGCGGCUCACUGGCCCGGUACUGACGCUGAGGUGCGAAAGCGUGGGGAGCAAACAGG